AACACACAAUCUUAUCGUCUCUUCCUCAAAUAUUUGUCUGUGACUUUUCCUUUGCACUCUACGGCGUCGAAGAUAUUGUCUUCGCCGAUCGCCCUCCCCACUAUCAAGAUCAAUAACUGUACCAUUCAACACAAUACCCUCUUCAAUUUCUUCCCUUUCCCCAACCUAGCUAUAUAUACGGUGAUAUUCAAGACCAAAGUUCCUCACAACGUUAUCCUCAAAAGCACCAGCGUGUUUAAGCUCCAAGGCUAAAGCACGACUAAUGAUAUCAGAUGGGAUGUGCACCUUUUCAUUUCAUCUUCAGUUCUGGUUGCUUCUUAAUUAAGUUCCACGAUUUGAACCCACCUACUGUUUCUUAUGCAGAUCAACCAUUGGGAUGAAGUUGUUGUCACAAACGACCUUCAGAUGGAUGAGGGCGAGGAUGAUAAUGAGGAAGAUGACCAAGAAGUAGAUCACCGAAAUAGAGCAAAUAAAAAUGUCAUCAGCUGGGAUGUUGGGUUAGUGUACGCGGAACCAUGAAGAGAGAUUAAGAAUUCAAGGUUAACAUCAAUGAUUUAUAGUUGCGACUAAGAAGACUGGACUAUGCAUGACUUCUUGGCCCAAUCAUCCUGCCAUGAUCUAGGUAUUCCUUGGAAACAACAGUGUUUGUCCUAGGCUGGUUUAUCUUCUUGUGAGACCUGGAUUUGGCUUAUCAUAAGAAGGCUGGCGCCAUGAAUUUGUUGAUACGAGUCUCGGGGUUUCUAUCAAUUGUGCUUUAUCUUUUGAAUGUCGACUGUGAUCAAUACAUCUACGAUAGCAAAAAUCUAAGAGAAUAAAUGUGUUUCGUGGUGGCUUCUAAGUUGGGAAAGAAGAUUUGUUAUGAUCACUACCCUCAAAGAUUCGAUGGGAUCGGUAGACACGACAGAUACAGUAAUGGCAGCGUUGUAUUUUACGAUGUAAGUACACAAAACUUUGAUCACCAGAUUCACCACCUUCCUUAUCUUGAGUCAUAACCUAAGUCUUAGUAAUCUUAAUUGCUUCCUUAUCUUGAGUCAUAACCUAUGUUUUAGUAAUCUUAAUUGCACUCCCACUGCGGCACUGUUUUUUUUUGCUACCAUUAGCUUCAUUGAAAGCAAAAAGAACAAUAGCAUCGGUGCUGGAGCUUCGUACAAGCCACUUAAGUGAUUUUUUAACGAGGUAUUAUAAAGACCCAAAUAUGUUUUUACCGGCCAGCUUACCUUAAUUACUAAUAUACUAUUUGAAGCACUUGAAAGUUGAGCCUACAGAUCCAAAACAAGGCUUUCUUGAUUUUUGUUAUCCCCCACGACAAAGAGACAUUUCUUACGAAACUCGGACUUACAGCUCGGGCUUGCAUCUCUUGAAAAAGUGUUUCUGAACAUCGCUAGACGGGCUAAACUAGAAAGUGCAACCGCUGCAAGAACCAUGGUCACCCACGAUUUAGAAUCUGGCAUCUCACUUAAAAGGAAA
This is a long non-coding RNA of Brassica oleracea var. oleracea, 1467 nucleotides long. RefSeq lists it as uncharacterized. Lineage: Eukaryota; Viridiplantae; Streptophyta; Magnoliopsida; Brassicales; Brassicaceae. The record is from RefSeq and is a predicted model, not a curated record. The transcript is spliced from 6 exons.